CCUACGGGAGGCAGCAGUAGGGAAUCUUCCGCAAUGGACGCAAGUCUGACGGAGCAACGCCGCGUGAGUGAAGAAGGUUUUCGGAUCGUAAAACUCUGUUGUUAGAGAAGAACACGUGCUAGAGUAACUGUUAGCGCCUUGACGGUAUCUAACCAGAAAGCCACGGCUAACUACGUGCCAGCAGCCGCGGUAAUACGUAGGUGGCAAGCGUUGUCCGGAUUUAUUGGGCGUAAAGGGAGCGCAGGCGGUUCCUUAAGUCCGAUGUGAAAGCCCCUGGCUCAACCGGGGAGGGUCAUUAGAAACUGGGAAACUAGAGUGCAGAAGAGGCAAGUGGAACUCCAUGUGUAGCGGUGAAAUGCGUAGAUAUAUGGAGGAACACCAGUGGCGAAGGCGACUCUCUGGUUUGAAACUGACGCUGAGGCUCGAAAGCGUGGGUAGCAAACAGGAUUAGAUACCCCGGUAGUC
This 465-nucleotide ribosomal RNA is filed under the name uncultured bacterium. Its description in RNAcentral is "partial 16S ribosomal RNA". It matches the Rfam family "Bacterial small subunit ribosomal RNA", at positions 338 to 795 of the family's 1533-position model. The record is from RNAcentral.